RNAcentral lists this ribosomal RNA (249 nucleotides) under uncultured Verrucomicrobiaceae bacterium. RNAcentral describes it as "partial 16S ribosomal RNA". It matches the Rfam family "Bacterial small subunit ribosomal RNA", at positions 355 to 611 of the family's 1533-position model. The record is from RNAcentral. Lineage: Bacteria; Pseudomonadati; Verrucomicrobiota; Verrucomicrobiia; Verrucomicrobiales; Verrucomicrobiaceae.
UAACGAAUCUUCCGCAAUGCACGAAAGUGUGACGGAGCGACGCCGCGUGGAGGAUGAAGGCCUUCGGGUUGUAAACUCCUGUCAUGCGAGAACAAAGCCUCACGGCCUGAUAGUAUCGCAAGAGGAAGAGACGGCUAACUCUGUGCCAGCAGCCGCGGUAAUACAGAGGUCUCAAGCGUUGUUCGGAAUCACUGGGCGUAAAGGGUGCGUAGGCGGCGGGGAAAGUCAGAUGUGAAAUCCGGAGGCUCA